AGCCCGGCGUCAUUGGCGUUUUUUUCCGGAGUGCGACUGAGGAGAGCCUGCGAGUCCUUCGCACGCUGCAGCGUGGGCUUCCCCCGCUGGGCGACCGGCGGCUGGGAGGCUGGGCCGCUUCAGCCCGGUGGGUGGCCGCGUCGGCCACUGCGUGCAGUGGACCGUGCGACGRUUUCUGCCCGCCGGGAUGGAGGCUGGCCGCACCUCGCGCUGUGGUCGUUGGUGCCC
Molecule: small RNA, 228 nt
Filed under: Lissodendoryx sp. GW33529
Lineage: Eukaryota; Metazoa; Porifera; Demospongiae; Poecilosclerida; Coelosphaeridae
Description: partial large subunit ribosomal RNA
Source: RNAcentral